GUGGAAGUACCUCUACUCAGAGUGAUAGAGAAAACUAUGGCUCUGCUUUUACUGAAGGAAUGGCUACCGGAGCGGGCAGCUUUAUGAAUAUAAGGUGAAAAGGAUGUAUGGAGAAGUUUUGGGAGAGUCAGACAGUCCACGGAACUUGCAAUGACUUAGCAAUGAUCUAUGCCAGACGUACAACCCCUGCUGUCAUUGGUGAUACCACUGCUUGAAAAUAUGUCAACGUCCUGUAGAUCAAGUAAGGUUCCAGUCGAAGUCCUCCUGAAGAAUUUGUUGGAUUUCUGCCAGUUUUUGAUAUUGAACUUUAGUGCCUUUUGAGACUCUUGGCUUUUUAAUGGCACGCCUCAUUCUACCCAAAUGGAAGGAUUGGAGUGUGUUUAUAUUGUAUAUGUUUAUAGGCUUGCUAAUAUUUGCUUAGGCUUUCACAUUGUUUUCUGAGAUACUACUCAAUGAUGUCAUUGUGACUCAUUGUAUCACACUUCAAGACGCGUAUCUUUUACUCAAUUAGUGUAUGCACUGUGAAUCCAAACAUGAGAAUUCUAAGAUUAUAGCAACUGCAAAGUUACUGCAAGGACAAUGUUAGUUUUGUAAAAACCUUAAGUGACAAGCACAAGAUGCGAUAGUGCUGGGAGCUUUUCUCUUGUAACAUUUUAAUGCAUUUGUAAUGGUGACGGUAAGCAGAUACUACAUUUUCAUCUCAUAUGUUAGUAUUAACAUGAACUUAAAAGCAUGCAAGGUUUUUUUGUGUGAAGUGGUUAACUCAAAUAUUGGUAUAAUAUAGAUCAAGGUUAUUAAUGUUGAUCACCUAUGGUGCAAGUUAAUCAUUUUUUUCCCUCUGCAUAUAAACACAAUGUGGAAGCAAAAUAUUGGAGAUCAAACUGUUUUAUAUUUACACUUACAUAAAGAGUUACAACAUGUUUUACGUUAAUAUGCAUAUUGAUUAAUGUAAGAUACUUUGAUGUUUUGAUAUGAAUGUGUUAACUUUUAUGUACCUGUAUUCAUGUGGAGUAUUGUGUGUAAUAUCACAAAGUGAUUUUUCUCUCAGAAUAAACAUUUUAAUUUA
Long non-coding RNA from Sardina pilchardus (European sardine), 1066 nucleotides. RefSeq lists it as uncharacterized. NCBI's taxonomy places the organism in Eukaryota, Metazoa, Chordata, Actinopteri, Clupeiformes, Clupeidae. The transcript has 3 exons. The record is from RefSeq and is a predicted model, not a curated record.